CCGUACGCGGGAAGCCCUGCCACGCGGUCCAUGCCCACGGCCGCCCACGACCGCGCCAAGCCAAUGGCGAGACCGACCCACCGGGCUG
Molecule: non-coding RNA, 88 nt
Filed under: unclassified sequences
Description: c-di-GMP sequence
Rfam family: c-di-GMP-II-GAG riboswitch aptamer
Source: Rfam by way of RNAcentral